GAUGAACGCUGGCGGCGUGCCUAAUACAUGCAAGUCGAGCGAACAGACGAGGAGCUUGCUCCUCUGACGUUAGCGGCGGACGGGUGAGUAACACGUGGAUAACCUACCUAUAAGACUGGGAUAACUUCGGGAAACCGGAGCUAAUACCGGAUAAUAUAUUGAACCGCAUGGUUCAAUAGUGAAAGACGGUUUUGCUGUCACUUAUAGAUGGAUCCGCGCCGCAUUGGCUAGUUGGUAAGGUAACGGCUUACCAAGGCGACGAUGCGUAGACGACCUGAGAGGGUGAUCGGCCACACUAGAACGGAGACACGGUCCAGACUCCUACGGGAGGCAGCAGUAGGGUAUCUUCCGCAAUGGGCGAGAGCCUGACGGAGCAACGCCGCGUGAGUGAUGAAGGUCUUCGGAUCGUAAAACUCUGUUAUUAGGGAAGAACAAAUGUGUAAGUAACUAUGCACGUCUUGACGGUACCUAAUCAGAAAGCCACGGCUAACUACGUG
Molecule: ribosomal RNA, 497 nt
Filed under: uncultured bacterium
Lineage: Bacteria
Description: partial 16S ribosomal RNA
Rfam family: Bacterial small subunit ribosomal RNA
Source: RNAcentral